GACGAACGCUGGCGGCGUGCUUAACACAUGCAAGUCGAACGAAAAGACCCUGAUCUUGUGGGGUGCACGAGAGGCGAAGGGGUGAGAAACACGUGAGUAAAAUGCCCUUGUCUUUGGGAUAUAUUCAGGGAACUGGGGAUAUUACCGGAGAGGAGCUCCUGCUGCAUGUUGUGCAAUGGAAAGAUUCGGCGGUUGGGGAACGACUCGCGGCUUAUCAGCUUGUUGGUGGGGUAGUGGCUUACCAAGGCUUUGACGGGUAGGCGGCCUGGGAGGGUGACCGGCCACAUUGGGACUGAGAUACGGCGCAGACUCCAACGGGCGGCAGUGGUGGGAAACAUGACGCAAUGGCGGGGAGUGAGAUGCAGAGGCGCCGCGUGCGGGAUGCUGGCUUUCUGGUUGUGAACCAAUUUCGACUGUAACAAGGAGUUAGUGACGGUACUGGGUAAAGAAGCACCGGCUAACUACGUG
RNAcentral lists this ribosomal RNA (468 nucleotides) under uncultured bacterium. RNAcentral describes it as "partial 16S ribosomal RNA". It matches the Rfam family "Bacterial small subunit ribosomal RNA", at positions 28 to 507 of the family's 1533-position model. The record is from RNAcentral.